CCUACGGGUGGCAGCAGUGGGGAAUAUUGCACAAUGGGGGAAACCCUGAUGCAGCGACGCCGCGUGAGUGAAGAAGUAUUUCGGUAUGUAAAGCUCUAUCAGCAGGGAAGAAAAUGACGGUACCUGAUCAAGAAGCCCCGGCUAACUACGUGCCAGCAGCCGCGGUAAUACGUAGGGGGCAAGCGUUAUCCGGAUUUACUGGGUGUAAAGGGAGCGUAGACGGCAGCGCAAGUCUGAAGUGAAAUGCCGGGGCUUAACCCCGGAACUGCUUUGGAAACUGUGCAGCUAGAGUGCAGGAGGGGUAAGUGGAAUUCCUAGUGUAGCGGUGGAAUGCGUAGAUAUUAGGAGGAACACCAGUGGCGAAGGCGGCUUACUGGACUGUAACUGACGUUGAGGCUCGAAAGCGUGGGGAGCAAACAGGAUUAGAUACCCGGGUAGUC
This 440-nucleotide ribosomal RNA is filed under the name uncultured bacterium. Its description in RNAcentral is "partial 16S ribosomal RNA". It matches the Rfam family "Bacterial small subunit ribosomal RNA", at positions 338 to 795 of the family's 1533-position model. The record is from RNAcentral.